Molecule: long non-coding RNA, 1807 nt
Organism: Triticum aestivum (bread wheat)
Lineage: Eukaryota; Viridiplantae; Streptophyta; Magnoliopsida; Poales; Poaceae
Exons: 2
Source: RefSeq, a predicted model, not a curated record
GUCCACUGGGGAAGGGGAAAUGUUGGGCGGCGCUGGUGGACGGGAGACCCACGCCACACGAAUUGAGCAAGAGCUCCCCUCCUCUGUCGCGAGCGAGCUCUGGCCAGGGAGCCCACGACAGGUAACUUGCACCAAAGGAAGAAGGGAGGAGGUUGCCGGGUGAGGCCCGGCGAGCCUGUCCCAACGCUAGCGGCUCUGACCUGUGUUCCUCCGUCCUGGAGUGGCCUCGGGCAAGACUGGAUCCGCGCGUAGAUGGGGGUAUCCUAGUGGUGGUGGGGGGCGGCGCGGGAUCCUGGUGGUGGUGGGCGGCGGCGCGAGAUUCUGGUGGUGGCCAGUGGCAGCGCAAGGUCCUGGUGGUCGCCGGCAGCGCGUGUCGCUGGGGCUCGCGGAUCCCAGAGAAAGGGGCGGUGGCCCACUAGGGGGUGGGGGCAGGCCGGCGUCGGUGGGUUGGGCGGCGGUGACGGGCGGAGGCGACGGGGAUCCGCGACGGCGGCGAUUGGAGGCGGUGGCGAUCCGCGGCGGCUGCGGGUGGAGGCAGGCGUGGGAAGGUUGGGGGAAGGCUACGGCGAAGGUGGUGCUCGGGUGCGCCGGUCCGGGGGUUUUUCUUUUCUCGGAGAGGACCUCGUCGCCCUACAUAGGGACACCGUGAUUCCGAAUGAUUAUUCUAAUCGCAGGAUUAAAAUAGUGCACUAUAUAUAUAUAUAUAAAGAGUAGCACUAUUCUGAUUAUGGGAUUAGAAUAGUUUUUCUGAUCACGAUCAGCCUAUAAGAGCGCCACCGACACGUUCCCCGUUCCGAAACUCCCGAACUAGCAGCGAAGCAAAAAAGAAAACGCACAAACAGAAAAAAAAAGUUUCAUCCCCACUAACCUCGUCCUGCCACCACCCCGAUUCCCCACCAUCCCGAUCCGGCGCGCCUCCACCCACCGCCGCCAGCCGCAGCGCCCCCCCCAGCCCCUGCCGUCGGCGGGGCCUCCCCCCAACCCCCACGAGCCACGUCCUCCCGAGCUACCCAAUUCACCGUCGUGGUCCGCCUCAACCUCCCACCAGCCUCCUCCCGUGCCGCCGCCGCUGGCCUCCUCCCGCCGGCCUCCUCCCACGCUACUGUCGGCCUCCUCCCGCGACGCUGCCGCCGGCCUCUCAAUCACGCAAGCUGUCGUCUCCAGGACCGGGAUGCAGGCCCAGGUCUCUGGCGAAGCCGCCGUCCAGGGGCCCGACGCCUUGGUCUCGUGACCUCCACGCUACCGUCGUCCUCACCACAAGCCACUACGGGCGCCGUCGCCCCCGGCCCUGCACUCCACCGCCGCACCCUGCCUUCUUCCCUCGGCAGCUGCUCCACAUUGCAUCCGCCCGACGCCGCGGCGCCCCCAACCCAUCUGCUUUCCCCAACCCCUGAACCUUCGUCUACUGGUUGACCUUCUCGCAAAGGCCACCUCGACCUUCUCGAGGAAGGUUGCUUCCGGGGAUCCGGCUCGCAGGGUGCACGCAAUCUCAUCGUAGCUUGUCGCUGUUGGGUGAAGAUCCGCCGGCCUGAAGACGCAAGAGGAGCAAAGGGGAUACAGAGCAUGUGUAGAACAUGGACUGCUCGCACGCGCCGCCACGGACUGCUUCGCUGCCAUCCUCGUCGUGCUGUGUCCACGGGGCUCCUUGACCCAUCGACGGCGACAACUGCACACAGCCCCUGCUCCUCAACUCCGACGGCCGUGCAGGCAGCCAUCCCACCUGGAGGCCGACACCAUGCUGGCUGAUUGCUUCCACUCACGUGCUUGCGAAUGGAUGGUGCCUGAGGAUAUUCAUUUGCUUUAGUGA